RNAcentral lists this ribosomal RNA (373 nucleotides) under uncultured bacterium. RNAcentral's name for it is "bacterial SSU rRNA". It matches the Rfam family "Bacterial small subunit ribosomal RNA", at positions 527 to 898 of the family's 1533-position model. The record is from RNAcentral.
GGAGGGUGCAAGCGUUGUUCGGAAUUACUGGGCGUAAAGCGCGUGCAGGUGGUCUUCUAAGUUUCGUGUGAAAGCCCUCGGCUUAACCGAGGAACGGCACGGAAAACUGGAAGACUUGAAUACGGGAGAAGAGGGCGGAAUUCCCAGUGUAGAGGUGAAAUUCGUAGAUAUUGGGAGGAACACCGGUGGCGAAAGCGGCUCUCUAGACCGAUAUUGACGCUCAUACGCGAGAGCGUGGGUAGCAAACAGGAUUAGAUACCCUGGUAGUCCACGCUGUAAACGAUGGAUGCUAGGUGUUCGGGGAGUUGACCCCCCGAGUGCCGAAGCCAACGCAUUAAGCAUCCCGCCUGGGAAGUACGGUCGCAAGACUAAA